GCCUCCUCUGGUCUUUGCUUUCAUACCCACUUAGAACACAUUCCAGGGUUUGACAGGAGAGCAAAAUAGCAGAGAGAACCCUUGGGUCUGAGAAGCUGGCAGGGAAGAACAGAAGAGUCACCCCUCUUGAUGGCGGAUAACUAUUGAUGAACUUGAGCGGCUAUUGAAGCAUUGAUAACGGCUCACGGCAAAGUCAUAUGAUAUCCAUCGCAGAAGUCAUAGGCAAGAGCACCAAUGACUGUCAGAGCAGGGAGGAAAAGGGGGGCGAUGGUGUAAAGAACAUGGUGCUCACUCACGGCUGCGCAUAGUGGGUUUACGUCAGGUACGUAUCUGGUUUAAGGUCUGAGAAAAAGCUAGGGAUGGGAAAUGACACACGAGUUAUUUUCUUCCCAAGAGGUUCAAUGAUGGCCGAGCUUGUCUUUCACAUAUUU
RNAcentral lists this long non-coding RNA (431 nucleotides) under Rattus norvegicus (Norway rat). Its description in RNAcentral is "long non-coding RNA NONRATT033710". Lineage: Eukaryota; Metazoa; Chordata; Mammalia; Rodentia; Muridae. The record is from RNAcentral.